GAGGAUGGUGGGCAGGAGGCCGGCUGCGGGGGAGGAGGAACUCCCAGGUGAGUACCUGGUGCGCAUGACGGGGAAGAUACUAUCACCACUCCUCUCGGAAACUCCUCCCAUGCCCCUAAUUCUUCAACCCCUCUUCCUAGAUUUCUGCAGAGCCCUCAAACCCCACCCAUCUCCACAUCUGGAAUUUAGGGACAUGCUACCCACUACCUACUCUUGACUUUAUAGGAGUACGGGGAAGCUUUUCAGCGGUUAUGUAAUUGUGCCUCAUUUUAAAAGUGAAAAAUAUUAACACAGUGCUCAAGUGAAUGGAUCUGGGGCCGGAUUGCCCGGGUUCAAAGCCCAGCUCCACCACAUUGCUCAGUCUUCCCCUCGCUUUCCUAUUCUAUGAAAUGGAAGUCAUAAUAGUAGCUAUGCUUGGCUUUAUUUUAAAGGUUAAAUGAAGGAAGACAUACAAAGUACUUAGAACAAGUCCUGUUAUAUAGUAACUACUAUACAAGUAUUGUCAGUAUUUUUUUUUUGAGACGGAGUCUCGCAGUGUUGCCCGGGCAACACUAUGAAGGAGAGAAACACUAUGAAUGUAAUGAAUUUGGAAAAUUUAGCAAGAAAUCAAACUUUACCCAACAUCAAAGAAUGUACACAGGAGAAAAACCUGAUGAGUGUAAAGAAAAUGAGAAAGCCUUGAAGAAGUUAUACCAUACUCAAAAUGAGAGAACUCAUGCAGGAGAGAAAGUCUAUGAUUGUAAGAAAUGUGGGAAAUUCUUUCAUGAAAAAGCAUGCCUUACUCAACAUCAGAGAACCCACACAACAGGAAAACCCAGCAAGUGUAAUGAUAGUGAAAGAGUCUUGAAGGAAUCUUGCCUCACUCCCAAUCAGAGAAUUAAAACAAGAUUAAAACAAGAGAGAAAAACUGUAAAGGUAAUAAAUGUGAGAAACCUUUCUUUGAGAAGUUGAAACACACUCAACAUCAGAGAAGGCACUUGGGGAAAAAAAAUAAUGGGCGUAAUGAAAGUGGGGUGCCUCAAGUAGGAAGUCACAACUUACACAAAGCCAGAGAGCUCACAAAAAAAGAGAAAACCUAUGACUGCAAUAAAUGUGGAGAAAGCUUCUGUAAGAAAACAGAUCUCAGAUAGCAUCAGAGCACACACACACGG
Homo sapiens (human) is the source of this 1151-nucleotide RNA transcript. It is a transcript of the gene named zinc finger protein 663, pseudogene, with no coding region annotated. NCBI's taxonomy places the organism in Eukaryota, Metazoa, Chordata, Mammalia, Primates, Hominidae. The record is from RefSeq and is marked provisional. The transcript has a single exon.